GAUGAAGAACGUAGCGAAAUGCGAUAAGUAGUGUGAAUUGCAGAAUUCAGUGAAUCAUCGAAUCUUUGAACGCACAUUGCGCCCCAUGGUAUUCCGUGGGGCAUGCCUGUUCGAGCGUCAUUUACCCCCUCAAGCUCCGCUUGGUGUUGGGUGUCUGUCCCGCUUCGCGCGCGGACUCGCCCCAAAGGUAUUGGCAGCGGUCGUGCCAGCUUCUCGCGCAGCACAUUGCGCUUCUCGAGGCACCGGUGGGCCCGCGUCCAUCAAGCUCACCCCCCCAGUUUGACCUCGGAUCAGGUAGGGAUACCCGCUGAACUUAAGCAUAUCAAUAAGCGGAGGA
This 337-nucleotide unclassified non-coding RNA is filed under the name soil metagenome. RNAcentral's name for it is "partial contains 5.8S ribosomal RNA, internal transcribed spacer 2, and large subunit ribosomal RNA". The stretch from base 1 to 120 matches the Rfam family "5.8S ribosomal RNA", at positions 35 to 154 of the family's 154-position model. The record is from RNAcentral.